Danaus plexippus (monarch butterfly) is the source of this 1670-nucleotide long non-coding RNA. RefSeq lists it as uncharacterized. The record is from RefSeq and is a predicted model, not a curated record. The transcript is spliced from 3 exons. NCBI's taxonomy places the organism in Eukaryota, Metazoa, Arthropoda, Insecta, Lepidoptera, Nymphalidae.
GCCACCCACAUAGAGAGGUAGAUGAUAUUUGCUGGCAAAAGACGGAAAGAUGCUUGCUUGACUCAAGAUGGAUUCCGGAUAUUGAUGAAAAAAUAAUAGAUAAUUGCGCGUCAGAGAGGAGUCGGAAAAUUACCUUUCACGACUACCCAAUAACCUGAGACUUCCACGUCUUGAUCCACAUCUCUCAGCCAGCCACUACAGCCAUCAUUAGCCUCGAUCCUCGCACUUCGAUUUAUCAUCCUGACUGGGGCGCAUCUAAUGAAAUUGCAUGUUAAUGUACCAGGGAUACAUGCAGCGAGGAUCAUCCAUUACUUUCUUGGGGGAAAAAAAUCGCACAGAAAUAAAAUAAUAAAUUACUAUCGUGAUCACAGUCAAGGAAAACUCUGCUGCGACGAGUAUGCAUGUGCUGUCUCAAAUUCAACCUGUGUGAAUACCAUAAUUUGUGAAGAUUUAUCAAUGAAAAACUUGAAACGCCUCUUAAAUUGUGUGACAUUCAAGCUGGCUAUAAGGGUAGAGUAUUAUUUUUUUCUUAUUAACAAUAGGUCUCCGUCCAAUAUGACAGAAUAUUACCUUUUGAAUACAGUUGGUUGACUCGUUAUCAUUAGUAAUAUCAUAAUUCCGUUCAAUAAUACAUUCGAUUAACGUCUUAGAAUAACUUACAAAGUUUUAAAGCCUCUUGUCUUGAACUCUCGCCAAAAGUUCAUGAAAACUAGUCGUAGGUACAUUUAACGUACAUUUCAGAUCCUCAGAAGCUAUUUUCCGUUGGCUUACCAUUGGAACUCCGGCGUGUAGAAUUAUUGGACAUGUGCUUUGUUCGUGUGCAUACUACUAUAUUGUAUAAUAUGGUUACUCGAGAACAUUUUUACUUGUAUUUGAAUGACCAAACGGUCCUUAUAAAUGUCUUUUUCCGAUUCCUAUAUCUGUAAUUCUCUUCAAACAGUUAGUUAUGCUUUUUUAUAAAUAUCAACUCAUCUCUUUUAUGUAAGUCACAACUGAUAUAGUAUUUUCUUUUAAUUUGUUUACAAUGUAGCGGAACUAGAAAUAAAAAUCUUAUAGAAGUAAAGUUUAGAGAAGAAUUCAAAUAGUAUUUCAUAAUAUGGUAUAAAGCUUGUCAGUCUUUCCGUAGACAAUUUUUCACUGUUUCAUCCAGUCUCAUCAUUCAUGUAUGCUGUUAGCAUUUCCAGAGCCAGUAAAAAGUUUAAAUCUUAAAACUGAAGGAGUUCUCCUAAGAAUUUUAUAACACUUCAAGUUACUGGUAUUGCGCUGCAUUUUAUAGUUUGAAAAUGUCCAAAGAAAUAUUGCGUUGAACCAGUGGCUGUUAGAUUGUACUCCUAAUGAAAGACUUCUAAAUUUAUAAAACAUGGUUUCCAUGCAUCUUUAAUACGAGAUUACGAACAAAAUAGAACUCUAUUUAUUUUAAAUUUUUAACUAUAAUUUAAGCAAAAAAUAUUAUUCGAUAAAUAACAUAAUAACACGCAACUGAUAUUGCUAUUAACAUUAUAAUAUAAUACAUUUCAUGAAUUUAAAAUGUAAUGUGUUUAUAAAAAAAUAUGUGAUAUAUAAUCCGUUAAAAUAAGAUCAUUCAAAUGGAAGGAUUGGAAUGGAAAUGUGGAUUGUCGUCGUCUUGAAAGCAGAUAUCAUUUUCGGAUGAUUUAUAUAUAAAUUAAAAC